Pygocentrus nattereri (red-bellied piranha) is the source of this 383-nucleotide long non-coding RNA. RefSeq lists it as uncharacterized. The record is from RefSeq and is a predicted model, not a curated record. Lineage: Eukaryota; Metazoa; Chordata; Actinopteri; Characiformes; Serrasalmidae. The transcript has 3 exons.
CAGUGGCCAAAUGCGGUAUUGCAGGCGAAAUGUCGCCAUGGAGCCUCUCAGAAAUGGGAAGGCCAAGCUGUCGAUUUGCAGAUCUCAUCAUUGCUUCGGAAAUCAUCAUCUUUAGAAGACGGAGAAGACGCGUCUCUCUCCUCGCCCGAACAAACUCAAAGUCAACUCCCCAACACCGCCUCUCAGCUCAUCAGCUCACACCCUGUCCAGUCAUGAUAAAACAACAGUCAAAAGCACAUGGAUAUUACAGCCAGCUGUUUUGGAUCUCUACUCUCCAGGGUUGUAUAUCUCCAGGACUGGGUCCUGCAAUAAACCAAACAGUGCCUGUAUGUACUAUGUGUGUAAACUUUAGUAGUUUUAAUAAAAUCAUAGCUUCAUUAAUA